Small nucleolar RNA from Sarcophilus harrisii (Tasmanian devil), 90 nucleotides. Its record names the gene SNORD14. It matches the Rfam family "Small nucleolar RNA SNORD14". Rfam says of the family: U14 small nucleolar RNA (U14 snoRNA) is required for early cleavages of eukaryotic precursor rRNAs. The record is from Ensembl. NCBI's taxonomy places the organism in Eukaryota, Metazoa, Chordata, Mammalia, Dasyuromorphia, Dasyuridae.
UUGCUAUGAUGAUAUUGGUACCAAAACCAUUCGUAGUUUCCACCAGAAGUUGCUAAUGAUGGCAAGAACCUUCCUUGGAUGUCUGAGCGA